UAGGGAAUCUUCGGCAAUGGACGAAAGCCUGACCGAGCAACGCCGCGUGAGUGAAGAAGGUUUUCGGAUCGUAAAACUCUGUUGUUAGAGAAGAACAAGGACGUUAGUAACUGAACGUCCCCUGACGGUAUCUAACCAGAAAGCCACGGCUAACUACGUGCCAGCAGCCGCGGUAAUACGUAGGUGGCAAGCGUUGUCCGGAUUUAUUGGGCGUAAAGCGAGCGCAGGCGGUUUCUUAAGUCUGAUGUGAAAGCCCCCGGCUCAACCGGGGAGGGUCAUUGGAAACUGGGGGACUUGAGUGCAGAAGAGGAGAGUGGAAUUCCAUGUGUAGCGGUGAAAUGCGUAGAUAUAUGGAGGAACACCAGUGGCGAAGGCGGCUCUCUGGUCUGUAACUGACGCUGAGGCUCGAAAGCGUGGGGAGCAAACAGG
This 429-nucleotide ribosomal RNA is filed under the name Gemmatimonadota bacterium. RNAcentral describes it as "Gemmatimonadetes bacterium partial 16S ribosomal RNA". It matches the Rfam family "Bacterial small subunit ribosomal RNA", at positions 355 to 776 of the family's 1533-position model. The record is from RNAcentral. Lineage: Bacteria; Pseudomonadati; Gemmatimonadota.